This is a non-coding RNA of Kogia breviceps (pygmy sperm whale), 2848 nucleotides long. The record is from RefSeq and is a predicted model, not a curated record. NCBI's taxonomy places the organism in Eukaryota, Metazoa, Chordata, Mammalia, Artiodactyla, Physeteridae.
GGAGGGGCCGCACCCCCGUGUCCUAGCUGUGUUAUGAUUCCGCAGUGAAGACGUUGCAUGUUGUUUUCACUCGUGUACACUUGACCUGCACAUGCAAGAAAAGGGUGGAAUGUUUAAAACACCAUAAUCAGCUCAGGGUAUUGCAGACCUGAAAUAAGGUGGGAUGGGCAAGUGUGUCCUUCAGAGCAAAAGGGUACUGAAGUCCCUCUCGCUGCAGGGGGCGAGAGGUAUGUUGUGUGUGUGCGGAUGUGUGUGUGGGGCACGCUCGUGCAUGUGUGACUGUGCAUGUGUUCUAUUUAUCCACGUGGGAAGGACUGGGAACGUCAGCUUUUAUUUAUUAUUUUAGAAUGUGACAUAAUGAGCAGCCACACGUGGGGAGGGGAAGGGAGGUCAGCUGUUAACAGAUCGCUCCAGAUGCCUUAAACUAUGCACAAAGCUAAGUGACCAAACUUCUUGUUUUGAUUUGAAAAAAGUGCAUUGUUUUCUUGUCCCUCCCCCUUUGAUGAAACGUUACCCUUUGAUGGGCCUUUUGAUGUGAACAGAUGUUUUCUAGGACAAAAUCUAAGGACUAAUUUUAAACUUACAACAUUCCACUUUUGUAACGUGUUUUAAAAUGUCUUAUGUGUAGUAAGCACAACUGUAAUCUAGUUUUAAGAGAAACCGGUGCUUUCUUUUAGUUCAACUGUAUUUCCCUUGUUACUGUAAAGGACUGUUUAUUAAUUAUGUUUACAAGUUUGUUGCAACAGUCAUUUUCUUGGGAGAAAGCUUGAGUGUAAAGCCGUUUGUCAAAGGCUUUGCCAUACUCAUUUUAAUACGUGCCUGUUGCUGUUAACUUUUGAUGAAUAAAAACCUAUCUUUUCACAUUUUCUUCUUUGAUAUUUACCUCUAAAGUCCGUCCGUUGGAAACCAUAACGCUAAAUUACUAGGGAAGCAAAGACUUCGCUUCUCGGCUCCGGCGUUCGCCCGCCACGCGUUUGUCCAGGCAGAGCCGGGCGCAGGCAGCGUCCUGGGGGCUCGUGUGCUGCCUGCGCCUCACGGGUGAGCAAGCCGAGGCCGGGAUGUGGUGCGCGGAGUCCUAACAGCCAGGAGAAGUCGCCUCGGAGCCCAGCCUCCUGACUCCACAGCCCUUUGUUCCCACGGCGGGAACCUCAGGCCUUCGUGCAGCACGUCUCAGUUCGGACCAGCCACGUUUCAGGUGCCCGGUCGCCACAUGUGGCUUGUGGCCGCCACACCGGACAGCUGGGCGCGGAAGGAAGUCUGAAGGUGGUGGAGCCGAGGGCUACCUGGGGAAGGCAGACAUUCUCGGGAAGCCAAAGGCCGAUCAGCCGGUUGCUUGAGCGUGGAUUCUGAGCGAGGGAGGCAAGUCGCCUCACGCAUCCUGCAGGGACGUACCUGCUGAUACUCGUUCGUGGACCACGGCUCCCCUGAACGGGGCUACAGAUGCUCUGCCGGGAGCUGCUCCUCCACGCCUGCUCGACUGGCACAUCCAGCAGACACGUCAGACCCUCGGCCCUGCCGCAGCUGGGCCUGCCUGGGCUCAGUCUGCCGGCGUAUGAUUGGUUUCUUCUUCUCUGACCUGUUACGUGUUUCUCACUUUGGCUAUUCAGAGGAUUAUCUUCUUCUUGCCAUCCUCCAGGGGGAGACACCUGAGGGUUGCUCCCAUCUCCUCCCUACACAUAGAAUAAACCCACCGCAAAGAUAUGUUUUGUGACAUAUCUGUGGUAUUACCGUGCACAGCCCUGCUGCCUCAACGGGACCUAUAUUCUUUGAACAUCGGUUUUCUAGAAAAAUUUGAGGAAACAGUACAGCAAUUUAGAAGGUCACAUUUUAAGUAACUGUCUGUCAUCGUGAGCAAUUAUGUGGAAACGAGUCUGUCAGUGCCGAAGUCAUGUGGCCACAGUGUCCGAGUUCCUGUCGUGUGCAGAACUGCACUGGAUGUAAUAAAGGUAUUAAAACUAAAUACGGAGACGGGGUCUCUGUUCUCAAAAUGUUUGGGUGACAAAAUGACGUGUGGAAAGAAACACGUUAUGUAAUAUGGGAGGUUUCUAUAUUGCACAAAAUGAGUGUAAAGUGUUGGGGUAUUAUUGUUGAGAAUGAAUGAUUUUGUCGGGUUAAUGAUGAAAAUGACACCAUUUCCAGUAAUUAUUGAAUCUUACUAACAUCCGUGACUGGCAAAAUCAUUUAACUUUCAAAUCUGAUUCUAAAAUGUAAGUCUUAGAUGUUCACUGUGAUACUUUUAGUAAAAUACCAGUAACUUUUAUCAAUCAUGGUAACAUUUUUUUUUUUAACUUUUACAGCUACGCUAAGUUGUCCUGAACCUAUCCUGAAGUCUAGUAGAAUGGUCAGGGAAAGAGAAACACCCCCAUUUUUAAUAUUAGAUUCUUUUUAGCUGUAUUUUAAAACUGGAGCACAGUCACCUAUUGGUUUACUGCAACUUUCCACUGGUCCCAUCAAUAGUCUUGUUAAGAAAGUUCAUCUUAUAUUACAUUUAUGUGUAAGCUGUGCAUUGUUUGAGAUUUUUGAGCAUCAAUUUGAAGUGUUUCUUUACUGUCGAGCCGCAUCCUAUAAAGAAUCGGGAGGGAGGCUGCAUGGUAUCCCAAGGGGCUUUAUCUUUUGAAGAAAGUAUCGUAAAGGAAUGUGUUUAAAGUGCCCAGUUGCACAUUUGCAGAACACAGUUUCUGAAUUCCCAUCUAAGCAUCCUCACAAGAUAGGGGUUCCCUUUCCCAUUGUAGGGAAGAGUCUCGCUCAGACCACUGCAGGGCAGCGGGGGCUUUAUCUUGAGGAUUCGUGUCCACGGUGGUGAGACAAACCCUCCGAAGGCUGUGGAAGCAGACCCUGGGGUCUGAGU